This 424-nucleotide ribosomal RNA is filed under the name uncultured bacterium. RNAcentral's name for it is "partial 16S ribosomal RNA". It matches the Rfam family "Bacterial small subunit ribosomal RNA", at positions 360 to 776 of the family's 1533-position model. The record is from RNAcentral.
AAUAUUGGACAAUGGGCGAAAGCCUGAUCCAGCCAUGCCGCGUGUGUGAAGAAUGNCUNNGGAUUNUNAAGUACUUUAAGUUGNNNNNAAGGGCAGUAAGUUAAUCCCUCGCUGUUUUGACGUUACCGACAGAAUAAGUACCGGCUAACUUCGAGCUAGCAGCCGCGGUAAUACGAAAGGUGCAAGCGUUAAUCGGAAAUACUGGGCGUAAAGCGAGCGUAGGUGGUUCGUUAAGUUGGAAGUAAAAGCCCCGGGCUUAACCUGGGAAUUGCUUUCAAAACUGACGAGCUAGAGUACGGUAGAGGGUAGUGGAAUUUCCUGUGUAGCGGUGAAAUGCGUAGAUAUAGGAAGGAACAUCAGUGGCGAAGGCGACUACCUGGACUGAUACUGACACUGAGGUGCGAAAGCGUGGGGAGCAAACAGG